This 253-nucleotide ribosomal RNA is filed under the name uncultured bacterium. RNAcentral describes it as "partial 16S ribosomal RNA". It matches the Rfam family "Bacterial small subunit ribosomal RNA", at positions 524 to 776 of the family's 1533-position model. The record is from RNAcentral.
UACGAAGGGGGCUAGCGUUGUUCGGAAUUACUGGGCGUAAAGCGCGCGCAGGCGGUCCUUCAAGUCAGAGGUGAAAGCCCAGGGCUCAACCCUGGAAUGGCCUUUGAGACUAGAGGACUAGGGUACGGGAGAGGUGAGUGGAAUUCCGAGUGUAGAGGUGAAAUUCGUAGAUAUUCGGAAGAACACCAGUGGCGAAGGCGGCUCACUGGACUGGUAUUGACGCUGAGGUGCGAAAGCGUGGGGAGCAAACAGG